AUUUCUAUUUAAUUAGGUUAAAAAACCAUUACACUUUCAUUGUAAAAUUAAAUUUUUCUUUAUUAAA
RNAcentral lists this transfer RNA (67 nucleotides) under Platerodrilus sp. UPOL 000589. RNAcentral describes it as "tRNA-Glu". Lineage: Eukaryota; Metazoa; Arthropoda; Insecta; Coleoptera; Lycidae. The record is from RNAcentral.